Molecule: unclassified non-coding RNA, 1665 nt
Filed under: Hevea brasiliensis (rubber tree)
Lineage: Eukaryota; Viridiplantae; Streptophyta; Magnoliopsida; Malpighiales; Euphorbiaceae
Source: RNAcentral
AAAUCUCCGACAGGAUUAAGAGUCGUAGGAAAUAAUUGGACAUUUCAUUCAUCAAUAACAUAACUGUGCUAUGUACAAUCUUACAGAUCCUGUUGCUUGUUAAUUGGCAUAUAGGCAGAGAGAUGUAAUCAAUGGAGGUAAUUAAAGCACCCAAUUUUGGGAAUAUUUACUGUUGACAGUCAGACAUAUGAGGUGCACUCGUUUUGCACGGACUAAAACCUUAUACCUUAGCAGAUCUGCAAGAUUUGGAACAGAACAUGCAUAAGUGAGUGCUACUAACCAGUCACUGUCUAAUUUUUCUUCAUAAUCCCCGGUUCUUAUGUCGAUUCGAUGCAUGCAUGCUGUUCUUGGUUCUGAUCUCAUCCAACUUUAACUCUUCCAACCCAAUGCCUUCAGAUUAGCUUGAUUUAACUCAACAUGCUUGCCAAGCGCAAGAUCUGCGGGGAGCCUGAAACCACCUAUACGUAUACGCUUCAGUGCACGCAACUGAAGUCCAGCAUUUUUCACAAGUUCACGAACUUCAUGAUUCCGUCCUUCAUGAACCACAAUGCGCAGACGAGGUCUUGAUAAGUCAGGCUGCCCUGGUAGUAGUUCAACAUUAUCUGGGGUGCAAUGGACACCGUCAAUAAUUGUUCCCUCACUAAUGGCUAUCAAGUGUCGCUUAUGAACUUCACCGUCGAUAGUUGCAAUGUAUUCCUUUGACAAAUUAGAUGAAGGAUGUGAAAUCUGGUGCGUGAACUCCCCAUCAUUGGUCACAAUAAUCAAGCCAGUCGUGGCAACAUCAAGUCUGCCAACUGUAAAGAGCCGAGGUUUCGGUUGUCCAGGAUGCCUUUUAUCCCAACUCUUUAUAAAGUCAUCAAAAAGGGACAUGACUGACUUAGUUUCUUUCUCCCCAGAUGAGCAUAUGUACCCUUUUGGCUUGUUUAGUGCAAGAUAGACCUUUGUAGGCAAUUUCUUAGGAAGGCGAUUUCCGUUGACAUAAAUUACAUCCCUAGCUGGAUCAACUUUAGUCUGUGGAGUUUUGCAAACAGAACCAUUCACAGUGACCCGCCCUUGAAAAAUCAGCUCUUCACUGCUCCGUCUGGAUGCCACUCCAGCAGCAGCAAGGACUUUACUGAGGCGUUGAGGAGGGUCUCUAAAGUUCUCAUUGUAGAACCGGCGAGCUGCCUUUGAAUGCUUAGGCUCAGGUGUAGGAACCACCGUGGCAGCUUUGGAAGCAACCUCUUUUCCCUUCUUCUUUUUCUUACCAGUGCUUGCAUUAGCCAUCUCAUGGAGUAGACGUGCAGGAGGUGUAGAUUGAAGAGUGAGAUUACCCUUUUCAUCACGAACAAUCCAAGGUAUAUAGAGCUGGUCACCAACUUCAGCAUCUAAGUUCGGCACCGAAUCGGAGUUGGAGUCGGAGUUGGGGUUUAUUAUGGGAAUUGCUGGUUCUGGUUUGGUUUUGGGUUUGGGUUUUGGUGGAGCAAAAGUGAUGUUGAAUUUAGUUGAGGAAGAUGAGAGUGACGAAGUGAUGAAGGUACGAAUGUGGCGACGCGUGUAGGGAGUUGCGCGAGUGAGGUGGAGGGAAGUGAAAGCGGAGGUCGCCGCUGCUACGGCGGCCGCCAUCGCCGCCAUCGCCGGUGAUUACUCUGAUAAGGUUUUGUGAAGGUUUUUGAAGAUGAUAGG